Molecule: unclassified non-coding RNA, 145 nt
Filed under: soil metagenome
Description: partial internal transcribed spacer 1
Source: RNAcentral
UAAUAAGUGUUUUAUGGCACUUUUUAAAUCCAUAUCCACCUUGUGUGCAAUGUCAGUCGAUCUUCUUCAUGGAGAUCGACCAAACAUCAACCUUUAUCUUUUAACUCUUUGUCUGAAAAAUAUUACAAAUAAACAAUUCAAAAUA